CGAGAAGUUUUGAAGGAAGCAUCCUAGUAAUCUUCCAUUAAUAUAGCAUUUUCACUCAGAAGAUCUUUAAUUGUUGUACAAUAAUUCUCCAGAGACUUUGAAGAUGCUAGUAAUUGGUAGAAAGACAUUAAUUUGCUUUCUGAAAUGCAGUGCCUUCUGGGGGUGAGAAAUACCUGUUAUGGAACAGGAGUGAAAAUUCACUAAAAGCUGGAAGGCUGAACAGCAAGUUGACAAAAAAAUGUAUGUUGAAAGUUACGAUACUUCAAAGGACAUAUAAUCUGCUGUGCUUUUCAAAACUCCAAAAUAGUUAUCAAUAUUGUUGUCUGUCUUAGAACUGCAGAUUUUCCACAGAAGAAAAAUCGGUUGUGUCAAGGCCAAAAGGAAGAUUCAAAUAAGUCUGAAGAUAAGUAGUCAGGUCAUCUAAUUUAUCUCCUCUACGCUGACUUUUGUUCAUCAGUUGAGUUGCUGCUUUAUAGAUGAGACAGUCUAAUUAGGUCCAGAGAACAUCAUCCAGGAGUCACUGCCUACUGUAAGGUACUAUACUUCAAUUUUAAUGAAGUAUUAUGGGACUCUUAGUUUUAAAUACUUCAUUCAUUACUGUUAGGAUAAUAAUAAUAUAAUAAAAGUAAUUUAUCUGGAUCAGCAUUUUAGAAAGAAACAUAUCUGACGCGCAGUGCAUAAACAAUGAGUAGCCAGAAUAUUUUGGAAUGAGUGGUAUUUAUUAUCCUUAUAUUCUUGAAAGUGAGGAAAAUGAUACUGAAGAUGACAGACCCACAGCGGUUGUGAAAGGAAUGAAAAUGUUGCAAAGGAGUUUUACUUGUCAUACCUACUACAAUGUUUUAAAAAAACAAUUUUGAAUUUCCAAAACAGCAUAGCAGCAUUUACAGCAAAAUAAAAUCCACUUUUUGGCUACAAAAAAUCUCAAGAAAAACAACUAGAAAAUCCAAGAGCAGUUUAAAGCUAACAUUCUCUAACCAUUAAAUACGUUUUCAUAAAACUGGAGACGCUUCUAUUUCCUUCCAGCUAGAAGGGGCGCUGCAUGAUCUACUGGAACUAUCAUUUAUAUUUUCUUUCCAUAAAAUCAGUUAAAUGUUAUUAAUUGAUCUUAGUUCUGAAGGUAAUUUCUUUUCUCCUGCUUCCAAUAAUACUUGCAAAAUUAAAAAGCACUGUCAAUGUUAAUGAAGGGGAAUAAUAUCAGGACCUCUUAAUUAUAUAUGCUGAAAUUCAUCCCCAUGUCUUCAGAGGAACUCAGUGAAUGGGGAGUUUACUUUUUUAUGUGUCACAAAUCUGCACCUUCCUGCUUUUGAUAUUACUUACAAUUUCCACUUGGAAAAUCUCUGUUUUAAAUCUCCAAAAUUCAUUUAACAGGAAAGAAUGCAAAGUCAAAGCUUCGCUAAAAUUAGUGUACGUGAUCUUGGGCUUCACCUGAAGCUCAUGAAAUCAUUACAUUUCGGAUACAUUGGUUUAGCACAUCUCAAAGGAAGAGGUUUAAUAUAUGUCAGAUAAAUUAUCUCUAGAAAUGUCUGUUUCUUGCCAUUCAUUGACUGUAGUGGGAUCCCAGGCAGCCACCUCGGAUAUAGAUGCCUGUGUAGAUUCAGACACUCAGCAGACAAAUGGAAAAUCCCCCUCCCCCUCUUUCCUGCCACCUGCCCUAUGUCUUUCCCUUGACUUCAAGGACUUAGCUCUAAUCUUUCAUCCUCAAUUAAUUCAGGAAUGAAAGAAUGAUUUUCAUUUGCUUUCCACUUCUAUUUUAAGAAAGGAAACAAGGGUUUUGAGGGAAAUCUGGGGAUGGUUUAUAUUAGUGCUCAAUUACACAUUAUUUAGACAAGGGUAAAUAUUAGGAUUUGAGAAUCCAGCACAAGAGUAAUAGAUUUUUCUUUCUUUAAGGAAAAUAGCCUAUUUGCUUUACUGCCAAGCAUUGACUGUUUCAAUAUGUUCAAGCCUAGAAGGCUGAAAACGACGACACAGAUGUGAUUCACAUAGGGCUCACCAGCAUGGUGCUUCAAUGUUCUGGCUUGUUGGAAAGCUUCCAGGGGAUUUAGGAAAAGAACAUACUGCAGAAAUGCAAACCAUUAUUUAGCCAAUUAGUUAGGAAAAUGUGUUGUUUCAGCAUGAUCAGAUUUAGCUUUGUUAAUUUUUAUUUGUUCUCAUUAAAAUUUCCCCACGCAGAACAAAAUAUUUAGUCACAGAGCUGUUAUCUAUAGUUAAAAUGGUUAUUUAUCAAUCAGAAGAAGUUUUAGAGUAUCCUGUGUAUAGAAGGCUUACAUAUCUCCUAGGUGACUGUAGGAAUAAAGUACAAGCGUGCUGCAUAACAGGAAGGCAAACCCAUUAUUCUUUAAGCAAUGUAGCAUUUGAGCCUAGGUCAAGUUUCGUACAUGAAGUUUGAGUAUUUUGAACAUGUAAAGCCUAAUUAAAAGACCUUUAGAAUUAGAUUCUUCUUUCCUAGAACAAGUAUUAUCAAUAUAUUGGGUCUGGAGAGAGGUGAAAGAGACUGUAGAUAAAUGCUGCUCGGUGAUGCUGUUCUCCUUCCAUGAUCCCCUUAUGGACUGGUACAACUGACAAAUGUCAGGCUAUUUUUAAGCAUGUAAUUAAAUUAUCUUGUUUUACAUAAAAUUAAGACACAUUACUUUCUUGUUAUGGAGAUGAAUGUAGUGUAGAUGCAAAAAUUUGCAGAUGAGAAUCAAGAGUGGUUUUACAGGAAGUACUUUCCAGGCUUUCCACAUAGUGAUGAAAUAUGGUAUAAAGCAGCACAGUGUCAAUAAAUCUACAGGAUAAAGGUCAGGUUUACAUCGAUGGACGGAGCUGGCAAAUACAUUUGUUCCUGCAAUGUCUGUGUUUUAAAUGCCACCCUCUGAUGAACCCAGUGCAGAAAUACACUUUAGGGUUUGAUGAGAUGUCAGUUUUGUUCAGUGCUGAUCAAAUAAGAUGAAUGAAAGUGAAACAAGAACAAAAAUAUUACUUCUGUCAUUUAUUUUUUAUGCAUUACAGGAAGUGGGUCAGUCGGGGAGAUUUCUCUUAAACAAAUAGCAAUCACUGCACAAUAUCACCCAUUGAUCUAUUUCACAGCAGGCAAUAGCCUUUUUGUCAGAAAGGACACACAAUUCAAAUACCACGGAAUGCAUAGAAAUGCCCAAUGACAGGUUUAAAAAGUAUCUUCCCCUCCUUUUAUUGACAAGCCAUCCCUUUCCACAGAUCAAUCUAGGCUGCAGAGGCAGGGCAUUCCAAAAAAACUUCCAGAUCUACAGGGAAGGCAGAUAUUCAAUAAAAAAAUGUGGAACAUAAAUUUUGCGUAAUGUAAAAGAAACAUCAUAUUUUGCAAAAAUAAUUUGUUCUUUAUGAUAGGAAUAUGAAGAUACCCGGUGAUAGGGCAAUUGCAUAAGCCUAACCGUAGCAAUGUGAAGGCCCUCUGCUUAGGCUGAGUGACAUAUCGUAUCAUUAAUUUAUCUUCUUCACAAAACAUUAUCAAAUGCUAGAGUCCAUGUAUCCUACACGAUUGUAAAUGUUUUAGAUAAAAAAUAGCUUUGUGGAUAAACUGUUCUGAAAAUGUGACGCUUGCUUUUUACACUUAAUUUGCAUAUGAAAUUAUUUUAAAGCAUUUAAAUUCAAUAUCCUGCUUUGAGUGACUCUAAGCCAUUGUCAUGUGUCUGAAAUUAGGGAGCUAAAUUCAUAUAUAUGCAUUUAAAUAAGUGGUUUGAGUUCCUGAGCAUUUAUGACCUGCGUGGAGGUAAAUGUUAUUUCCAGUUUAUCAUCUGUAUGUCAGAGCAGCUAAAAAGCAAUACAAGAAAUGCUCUAAUAAUAUUUUACAGUUAAUAAGGAAUUUUUGCUUUAUAUCUAUUACAUAUUCAAAUAACUAAAUACUUUGCCUGACAAAAUAUCUUAGUUGAUCAUAAAAUUCGCAUAUCUUCUUCUGAAGAUGUGUAUUUUAAUGCAGUGGCACCCAUAAGCAGAACAGAUUAGAUUUAAUUCAAAAGAUUUCUGUCUACUACUUUGCCCUGUUAUUUGUGGAGGUCAAAUAAAAAACUAAAUUCUAAUGAGUGUCUGGCAUAGAGUAAGCAUUCAUCUAGUAAUGAGCCGAGAUGUGUGAGAAAUGCCAAGAACCUCUCACCUCUGGCUGAAGUCUGGGUUUACAGGUAGCCUAUAAUCUUCACAUUAUCAUGUUCCUUUUUAGAGGAAUAAUCCUCCUCUUCAAAAAUGGGGAGGGAAAUAACUACUUGUGAAAGGGAACAUCGGUUACAGGAGCAAGCUAAACAGAGGAGAAAGGGACCUAUAGGCUGAUUUGUUCCUGCUCUGUCCACUUGUUGGAUUAUACACAAAUAUUUAAAUAUUUACCAUUCGAUAUAAAAAGAUGACAGAUCUUAACCAUGGUAACCACUGUGUCACUCACUAUUUAGUAGACCUCUGUUACCUGUGCAAUGCCUAGAAAUGCCAUUGAAAUAUAAGCAAGUAUUCAAAGCUUCAAAAUUUGUUGAUUAUAUUGUAUAAGGUAUU
Molecule: long non-coding RNA, 4488 nt
Organism: Oxyura jamaicensis (ruddy duck)
Lineage: Eukaryota; Metazoa; Chordata; Aves; Anseriformes; Anatidae
Exons: 4
Source: RefSeq, a predicted model, not a curated record